Molecule: ribosomal RNA, 433 nt
Filed under: uncultured bacterium
Lineage: Bacteria
Description: partial 16S ribosomal RNA
Rfam family: Bacterial small subunit ribosomal RNA
Source: RNAcentral
AACGAACGCUGGCGGCAUGCCUAACACAUGCCAGUCGAACGAGACCUUCGGGUCUAGUGGCGCACGGGUGCGUAACGCGUGGGAACCUGCCCUUAGGUUCGGAAUAACUCCCCGAAAGGGGUGCUAAUACCGGAUAAUGUCUUAGGACCAAAGAUUUAUCGCCUUUGGAUGGGCCCGCGUUGGAUUAGCGAGUUGGUAGGGUAAAAGCCUACCAAGGCGACGAUCCAUAGCUGGUCUGAGAGGAGGACCAGCCAGACUGGCACUGAGACACGGCCCAGACUCCUACGGGAGGCAGCAGUGGGGAAUAUUGGACAAGGGGCGAAAGCCUGAUCCAGCAAUGCCGCGUGAGUGAUGAAGGCCUUAGGGUUGUAAAGCUCUUUUACCCGGGAUGAUAGUGACAGUACCGGGAGAAUAAGCUCCGGCUAACUCCGUG